AUUGAACGCUGGCGGAAUGCUUUACACAUGCAAGUCGAACGGCAGCACGGACUUCGGUCUGGUGGCGAGUGGCGAACGGGUGAGUAAUGUAUCGGAACGUGCCCAGUCGUGGGGGAUAACGUAGUGAAAAUUAUGCUAAUACCGCAUACGAUCUCUGGAUGAAAGCGGGGGAUUGCAAGACCUCGCGCGAUUGGAGCGGCCGAUAGCAGAUUAGGGAGUUGGUGGGGUAAAGGCCCACCAAGCCAACGAUCUGUAGCUGGUCUGAGAGGACGACCAGCCACACUGGAACUGAGACACGGUCCAGACUCCUACGGGAGGCAGCAGUGGGGAAUUUUGGACAAUGGGCGAAAGCCUGAUCCAGCCAUUCCGCGUGCAGGAUGAAGGCCCUCGGGUUGUAAACUGCUUUUGUACAGAACGAAAAGGUUUCUACUAAUACUAGGAGCUCAUGACGGUACUGUAAGAAUAAGCACCGGCUAACUACGUGCCAGCAGCCGCCGUAA
Molecule: ribosomal RNA, 500 nt
Filed under: uncultured bacterium
Lineage: Bacteria
Description: partial 16S ribosomal RNA
Rfam family: Bacterial small subunit ribosomal RNA
Source: RNAcentral